GAUGAACGCUGGCGGCGUGCCUAAUACAUGCAAGUCGAGCGAACGGACGAGACGCUUGCUUUUCUGAUGUUAGCGGCGCACGGGUGAGUAACACGUGUAUAACCUACCUAUAAGACUGGGAUAACUUCGGGAAACCGGAGCUAAUACCGGAUAAUAUUUUGAACCGCAUGGUGCAAAAGUGAAAGACGGUCUUGCUGUCACUUAUAGAUGGAUCCGCGCUGCAUUAGCUAGUUGGUAAGGUAACGGCUUACCAAGGCAACGAUGCAUAGCCGACCUGAGAGGGUGAUCGGCCACACUGGAACGGAGACACGGUCCAGACUCCUACGGGAGGCAGCAGUAGGGAAUCUUCCGCAAUGGGCGAAAGCAUGACGGAGCAACGCCGCGUGAGUGAUGAAGGUCUUCGGAUCGUAAAACUCUGUUAUUAGGGAAGAACAUAUGUGUAAGUAACUGUGCACAUCUUGACGGUACCUAAUCAGAAAGCCACGGCUAACUACGUG
This 497-nucleotide ribosomal RNA is filed under the name uncultured bacterium. Its description in RNAcentral is "partial 16S ribosomal RNA". It matches the Rfam family "Bacterial small subunit ribosomal RNA", at positions 28 to 507 of the family's 1533-position model. The record is from RNAcentral.